UACAGAGGGUGCAAGCGUUGUUCGGAAUUACUGGGCGUAAAGCGCGUGUAGGCGGCUUGGCAAGUCGGAAGUGAAAGCCCUCGGCUCAACCGGGGAACUGCUUUCGAUACUGCCAGGCUUGAGUGCGGGAGGGGAGAGCGGAAUUCCCGGUGUAGCGGUGAAAUGCGUAGAUAUCGGGAAGAACACCGGUGGCGAAGGCGGCUCUCUGGACCGCGACUGACGCUGAGACGCGAAAGCGUGGGGAGCAAACAGG
RNAcentral lists this ribosomal RNA (253 nucleotides) under uncultured bacterium. RNAcentral describes it as "partial 16S ribosomal RNA". It matches the Rfam family "Bacterial small subunit ribosomal RNA", at positions 524 to 776 of the family's 1533-position model. The record is from RNAcentral.